This 253-nucleotide ribosomal RNA is filed under the name uncultured bacterium. RNAcentral's name for it is "partial 16S ribosomal RNA". It matches the Rfam family "Bacterial small subunit ribosomal RNA", at positions 524 to 776 of the family's 1533-position model. The record is from RNAcentral.
UACGUAGGGUGCAAGCGUUGUCCGUAAUUAUUGGGCGUAAAGAGCUCGUAGGCGGUUUGUCGCGUCUGCUGUGAAAACCCGAGGCUCAACCUCGGGCCUGCAGUGGGUACGGGCAGACUAGAGUGCGGUAGGGGAGAUUGGAAUUCCUGGUGUAGCGGUGGAAUGCGCAGAUAUCAGGAGGAACACCAAUGGCGAAGGCAGAUCUCUGGGCCGUAACUGACGCUGAGGAGCGAAAGCAUGGGGAGCAAACAGG